Molecule: non-coding RNA, 223 nt
Organism: Paramuricea clavata
Lineage: Eukaryota; Metazoa; Cnidaria; Anthozoa; Malacalcyonacea; Plexauridae
Source: the annotation of a GenBank genome assembly
GCCGUAUCUUCGCUCAGAAGAGAUAAAUUUCUACAUGUAUAUUGAAGGUUUUUUCGUAUGUUUACAAAAUUAUAGCGAGGAAUCUAUUCGUCACAAAAAUCGAGACAUAUUUUAAACAGAACUAAACAGUUGCUAAUCCCAGGUUAACAUGGUUGUCAACGUCGUUGUUAUGGUCAAUAUUUGCAUGUUGUUCAACAUGUUGAAGGAAAAAAACUUUUAGAAC